Hypholoma sublateritium FD-334 SS-4 is the source of this 109-nucleotide transfer RNA. It matches the Rfam family "tRNA". From Rfam's summary of the family: Transfer RNA (tRNA) molecules are approximately 80 nucleotides in length. Their secondary structure includes four short double-helical elements and three loops (D, anti-codon, and T loops). The record is from Rfam. Lineage: Eukaryota; Fungi; Basidiomycota; Agaricomycetes; Agaricales; Strophariaceae.
CCUUCGAUAGCUCAGUUGGAAGAGCGUGGGACUGUAAUGCGGCGAGAAUUAUGUAAUCAAUAGAUUACGAGGCAUCCCGAGGUCACUGGUUCGAUCCCGGUUCGAAGGA